This 254-nucleotide ribosomal RNA is filed under the name uncultured bacterium. Its description in RNAcentral is "partial 16S ribosomal RNA". It matches the Rfam family "Bacterial small subunit ribosomal RNA", at positions 524 to 776 of the family's 1533-position model. The record is from RNAcentral.
UACAGAGGUCUCAAGCGUUGUUCGGAUUCAUUGGGCGUAAAGGGUGCGUAGGUGGCGGGGCAAGUCUGGUGUGAAAUCCCGGGGCUCAACCCUGGAACUGCACUGGAUACUGCUUUGCUAGAGUACUGGAGAGGGAACUGGAAUUUACGGUGUAGCAGUGAAAUGCGUAGAUAUCGUAAGGAAGACCAGUGGCGAAAGGCGAGUUCCUGGACAGUUACUGACACUGAGGCACGAAGGCCAGGGGAGCAAACGGG